RNAcentral lists this ribosomal RNA (422 nucleotides) under uncultured archaeon. RNAcentral's name for it is "partial 16S ribosomal RNA". It matches the Rfam family "Archaeal small subunit ribosomal RNA", at positions 323 to 746 of the family's 1478-position model. The record is from RNAcentral.
CUACGGGAGGCACCAGGCGCGAAACCUUUACAAUGCACGAAAGUGUGAUAAGGGAAUCCCAAGUGCUUUACUACUAGUAAGGCUUUUGCCAAGAGUAAAUAUCUUGGCGAAUAAGUGGUGGGUAAGACUUGUGCCAGCCGCCGCGGUAACACCAGCGCCACAAGUGGCAACCGAUAUUAUUGGGCCUAAAGCGUCCGUAGCCUGUUUGAUAAAUUUUCUGUGAAAUCGUUGAGCUUAACUUAACGGUGUGCAGAAAAGACUGUCUGACUAGGAACCGGGAGGCGUCAAAAGUAUUCCUGAGGGAGCGGUAAAAUGCUAUAAUCUCAGGAGGACUUCCUGUGGCGAAGGCGUUUGACGAGAACGGAUUCGACGGUGAGGGACGAAAGCCAGGGGAGCGAACCGGAUUAGAAACCCUGGUAGUC